CCUACGGGGGGCAGCAGUGAGGAAUAUUGGUCAAUGGCCGGAAGGCUGAACCAGCCAUGCCGCGUGAAGGUCAGUGCCCUAUGGGCGUUAAACUUCUUUUGUGCGGGAGCAAUAAUGGUCACGUGUGGCCAGACGAGAGUACCGUACGAAUAAGCAUCGGCUAACUCCGUGCCAGCAGCCGCGGUAAUACGGGGGAUGCAAGCGUUAUCCGGAUUUAUUGGGUUUAAAGGGUGCGUAGGCUGUGAGGUAAGUCAGCGGUGAAAUGCCCCCGCUCAACGGGGUGAAGUGCCAUUGAUACUGCCUGGCUUGAGUGCGGAUGACGUGGGAGGAAUGUGUGGUGUAGCGGUGAAAUGCAUAGAUAUCACACAGAACACCGAUUGCGAAGGCAUCUCACGAAUCCGCGAUUGACGCUGAUGCACGAAAGCGUGGGUAUCAAACAGGAUUAGAUACCCGUGUAGUC
Molecule: ribosomal RNA, 460 nt
Filed under: uncultured bacterium
Lineage: Bacteria
Description: partial 16S ribosomal RNA
Rfam family: Bacterial small subunit ribosomal RNA
Source: RNAcentral